Molecule: ribosomal RNA, 808 nt
Filed under: Micarea turfosa
Lineage: Eukaryota; Fungi; Ascomycota; Lecanoromycetes; Lecanorales; Micareaceae
Description: SSU rRNA
Rfam family: Bacterial small subunit ribosomal RNA
Source: RNAcentral
AAUAGCCUAACGGCUGAACCAGCAACUUGGAAGAAUGUAUAGCAAUAGCUUAUUGCACCAAUUGCAAUAUCGACUCUGUCGAAUAAAAUUCUAGGUAGAAUUAUGAUAAUGACAUUAUCUACUUAUGUGUCUUGACCAAAUUACGUGCCAGCAGUCGCGGUAAUACGUAGAAGACUAGUGUUAUUCAUCUUUAAUAGGUUUAAAGGGUACCUAGACGGUAAACAAAGCCUUCAGGGACUGGUUUACUAGAGUUACUUAUGAAGGGGUAUUAAAGUACUAGUGGUGUAGAGAUGAAAUUCUGUGAUACCUUUUUUCGAAAGAAAAUAAUGGCACAGGUAUAGGCGAAAGCAUCCCCUUAUGUGAUAGCUUUGUGUAGCGAACAGGAUUAGAUACCCUGGUAGUCAAAGCAGAAAAUGAUGAGUGUCAUGGAUUAGUUUAUUCUAUAAAUGAAAGUGUAAGCACUCCACCUCAAGAGUAAUUUGGCAACAUUGGAACUGAAAUCAUUAGACCGUUUCUGAAACCAGUAGUGAAGUAUGUUGUUUAAUUUGAUAAUCCGCAAAAAACCUUACCAUGAAUAUUUACAAGCGUUGCACGGCUGUCUUCAGUUAAUGUCGUGAGACUAUGGUUAGCUCCAUUAAAUUAACGUAAACCCUUACUUUAUUUUCAUAUAAAGUAGUUCUCCGCUAUAUUGGAUAAGAUAACAGGGACUAAGACAAGUCAUCAUGGCCUUAAUGUUGUGAGCCUUUACAAAAGGAUGUGAAAUUGUGAAAUUGAGCUAAUCCCCUAAAACUGGCUAUACAUUUACAUG